CCCUUAGAUGUUCUGGGCUGCACGCGUGCAACACUGAUAUUGCCAAUAUGUCAUUCUUAUCCGAAAUGGAUUGGGUAAUCAAGUAAUGAAAUUUCAUGCUUGGAAUCGGUAAUUGCAAUUUUAUCGUGAACGAGGAAUUCCUAGUAAGCACUAGUCAUCAGCUAAUGUUGAUUAUGUCCCUGCCCUUUGUACACACCGCCCGUCGCUACUACUGAUUGGGUGUUCAAGUGAGAUGCUUAGACCCUUGUUGCAUGGUUCAUUAUUGUGCUCCGAAAGGAAAAAGUUUCAAGCUUGAGUGUCUAGAGGAAGUAAAAGUCGUAACA
Molecule: ribosomal RNA, 323 nt
Filed under: uncultured eukaryote
Lineage: Eukaryota
Description: partial 18S ribosomal RNA
Rfam family: Eukaryotic small subunit ribosomal RNA
Source: RNAcentral